This 253-nucleotide ribosomal RNA is filed under the name uncultured bacterium. Its description in RNAcentral is "partial 16S ribosomal RNA". It matches the Rfam family "Bacterial small subunit ribosomal RNA", at positions 524 to 776 of the family's 1533-position model. The record is from RNAcentral.
UACGGAGGGUGCAAACGUUAUCCGGAUUCACUGGGUUUAAAGGGUGCGUAGGUGGGUUGGUAAGUCAGUGGUGAAAUCUCCGUGCUUAACAUGGAAACUGCCAUUGAUACUACUGAUCUUGAAUUUUCUGGAGGUAAGCGGAAUAUGUCAUGUAGCGGUGAAAUGCUUAGAUAUGACAUAGAACACCAAUUGCGAAGGCAGCUUGCUACAGGGAUAUUGACACUGAGGCACGAAAGCGUGGGGAUCAAACAGG